This 207-nucleotide ribosomal RNA is filed under the name uncultured bacterium. RNAcentral's name for it is "partial 16S ribosomal RNA". It matches the Rfam family "Bacterial small subunit ribosomal RNA", at positions 1297 to 1500 of the family's 1533-position model. The record is from RNAcentral.
ACUGUGGUCUGCAACCCGACCACACGAAGCUGGAAUCGCUAGUAAUCGCGGAUCAGAAUGCCGCGGUGAAUACGUUCCCGGGUCUUGUACACACCGCCCGUCACACCAUGGGGAGUCAGCAACGCCCGAAGUCAGUGACCCAACCAUUAUAGGAGGGAGCUGCCGAAGGCGGGGCAGGUGACUGGGGUGAAGUCGUAACAAGGUAUC